GACGAACGCUGGCGGCGUGCUUAACACAUGCAAGUCGUACGGUAGGGCCCUUACGGGGGUCCAUGAGUGGCGAAGGGGUGCGUAACAGGUGGGUAUACUGCGCAAAAUUCUUGGUUAUCGCUAGGAAACUAGUGCUAAUACUGCAUAUGUGUCCUUGCUGCUAUGUGUGGGUUGGAAAGCUCUGGGGGCUGUGGCCGGUCUCGUGGCCCAUCUGCUUGUUGGUGGGGUAGUGGCUUACCAAGGCGGCGACGGGUAGCCGGCCUGAGAGGGUGACCGGCCACACUGGGACUGAGAUACGGCCCAGACGUCUACGGGUGGCAACUGGGCGGAAUAUUGAACAAUGCGCGCAAGACUGAUGCAGCAGCACCGCGUGCGGGAAGACGACCUUCGGGUUAAAAACCGCGUUCAGCAGGGAAGAAUCUUGUUGUGACGGUACCUACAGAAGAAGCACCGGCUAACUACGUG
RNAcentral lists this ribosomal RNA (465 nucleotides) under uncultured bacterium. Its description in RNAcentral is "partial 16S ribosomal RNA". It matches the Rfam family "Bacterial small subunit ribosomal RNA", at positions 28 to 507 of the family's 1533-position model. The record is from RNAcentral.